UACGUAGGUGGCGAGCGUUAUCCGGAAUUAUUGGGCGUAAAGAGCGCGCAGGUGGUUGAUUAAGUCUGAUGUGAAAGCCCACGGCUUAACCGUGGAGGGUCAUUGGAAACUGGUCGACUUGAGUGCAGAAGAGGGAAGUGGAAUUCCAUGUGUAGCGGUGAAAUGCGUAGAUAUCAGGAGGAACACCAGUAGCGAAGGCGGCUCUCUGGACUGUAACUGGCGCUGAGGCACGAAAGCGUGGGGAGCAAACAGGAUUAGA
This 259-nucleotide ribosomal RNA is filed under the name uncultured prokaryote. RNAcentral's name for it is "partial 16S ribosomal RNA". It matches the Rfam family "Bacterial small subunit ribosomal RNA", at positions 524 to 782 of the family's 1533-position model. The record is from RNAcentral.